AUCGGGGUAGCUCAACCGGACAGAGCGGCCGGCUUCUACCCGGCAGGUUGUGGGUUCGAAGCCCACCCCCG
Molecule: transfer RNA, 71 nt
Filed under: Planctomycetota bacterium
Lineage: Bacteria; Pseudomonadati; Planctomycetota
Description: Planctomycetes bacterium (soil metagenome) tRNA-Arg
Rfam family: tRNA
About the family: Transfer RNA (tRNA) molecules are approximately 80 nucleotides in length. Their secondary structure includes four short double-helical elements and three loops (D, anti-codon, and T loops).
Source: RNAcentral